Long non-coding RNA from Pseudophryne corroboree (corroboree frog), 479 nucleotides. RefSeq lists it as uncharacterized. The record is from RefSeq and is a predicted model, not a curated record. The transcript has 3 exons. Lineage: Eukaryota; Metazoa; Chordata; Amphibia; Anura; Myobatrachidae.
AGCGCUUCCACAGCCCCCAGCGUGUCUCAAUCUACUGCGGGGGCUAGCAGUAACCACUGAUGCCCGCACCCACCCUCCCUACUUCACUGAUGCAGCGGCCAGGAGAUACCUGGCAAUACGCAGGAAAGCCCUGGCAACGCACAGGAGACCCCCUAGCAACACAUAUGAAACCCCUGGCAACGCACAGGAGACCCCUAGCAACGCGCAUGAAACCCCUGGCAACGCACAGGAGACCCCUAGCAAUGGGCCUGCAGCUUUAAAUAACGUCAGCAGUGUUGGAUUGUAAAGAAGAGAACAUCUACUAAAACCGGAAGAGUCUGACAUCCCGCCUGUAAUCCUCCCUAGGAAUGAGUAACCACCUUCAGGAGUCGUUAUUAGGAAGAUCGACGAAUGUCUGCAUUCCUGGGGCAGACAGAAAAACCAUACCAUUAAGUGAGAAAUAACAUGAAUCCUAAGCUUCAUCUGCGAGCAGUGAAAAA